UCCUGGCUCAGAACGAACGCUGGUGGCGUGUCUAUACAUGCAAGUCGAGCGAGGCAGCAAUGCCGAGCGGCGAACGGGUGAGUAACGCGUAAGCAAUCUGCCCCAUAUCAGGAAAUACCCGUGCCAACGCGCGGUUAAUGUCCAGGAGAGUGGCCCUCUGCAUGGAGGGUUGACUAGAGACUUAUCGGUAUGGGAUGAGCUUGCGUCCGAUUAGCUAGUUGGCGGGGCAACGGCCCACCAAGGCGACGAUCGGUAGCCGGCCUGAGAGGGUGAUCGGCCACAUUGGGACUGAGAUACGGCCCAGACUCCUACGGGAGGCAGCAGUAGGGAAUAUUGCACAAUGGGGGAAACCCUGAUGCAGCAACGCCAACCGUGUGGGAAGAAGCAUUUCGGUGUGUAAACCACUGUCAUGAGGGAAUAAGGCCCGCCUUCGGACGGGAUUGAAUGUACCUUGAGAGGAAGCACCGGCAAACUUCGUGCCAGCCGCGGC
Molecule: ribosomal RNA, 490 nt
Filed under: uncultured bacterium
Lineage: Bacteria
Description: bacterial SSU rRNA
Rfam family: Bacterial small subunit ribosomal RNA
Source: RNAcentral